This is a non-coding RNA of Coturnix japonica (Japanese quail), 7203 nucleotides long. The record is from RefSeq and is a predicted model, not a curated record. Lineage: Eukaryota; Metazoa; Chordata; Aves; Galliformes; Phasianidae.
GAUAAAAAAGGGAGUUCUGUGAGGUUGGUUGUGACGGAUCGGCUCAGGGUGCUGCUGGGUGAGAGCUUCCGAGGGGGAAUGAAAGAAAUAGAGAUGUACAUCAACUUUGGAGGCCCUUCCACCUCCAUCCAAAGGCUGUGCCCAGCCACCCUGCCCUGCCCUUACCCGGACAGGAUAAUUAAAAAGCAGAUAUCGAAACCUUUCUUGCUUGUGGGCUCACGGAAGAAGUUGGGCAGUUCUUUGGUUCUUCUUCCUUUUUUCCCCACACCGUCCCACCCCACCCCAUCAGAAGUUCUCCCAAAUCAGUUCUAACGGAUUCUCAGCGUUCAGGUUGACGGUGCGGCUGCACAUCCUCGAACUGAUCGGGAUGUGCGGAGGGGAUCUGAGUGUCACAGAGCAUUUUUGGGCGGCGGGAAAAGCCCCGGGACGCUGCGAAACUUUGACGAUUUGUUUCACAUCUUUGGAGAAACGGUGCUUUAAGCAACGUACAAUUAAAACUAUGUCGCUCUUGGGAUAAAUCCGAGAAUCUCCAAUAGGAAUCGGUUUCGAUCCUGGGAUACUUGUUGCUAAAGCUGAUCUAUAUCACAAAACCGGAGAGGAGAAGCAGGCAGCCAGGGGCAGCUCUGCUCCAGCUGUAAUUUUUCAGCCCCGCUCCCCUGACCAGACAGGCUGUGCAGUCUCUUCUCCGAUUUCCCAGUUGGCAUUUAUUCUCGUCGGAACAUCCCAGCCCCUCAGAAUCCCUUUCUCUCCCUUUUUUUUUUGUGCCUUCCCCGUUUGUUCCUUUUCGGGCUAUAGGGGCCGUUUCGCGGUUUGAUUCCCCCCCCCACACACACACCCCACACUUCCCCGUUUGAUUCUUCCCGAAGUCGUUUUCUCUAUAACGGUGAAUAUUUCUGCUGGUCAGAUAUUGGAGUUCAAACUUUACCCCACAACCUGCAGGCGACCCUGCCCUCCUCCCGUCCUCCUGUCAGGAGAGUCCAAAUUGUGACAGCGGCUUCUCCAGCCGCUCCCUAACCUUCAUCACGGACUGUUCGCUCACGUUAAGUCCCAUCUCCCCACACUCUAUUACGCUUUUCUGAGCCCCUGCCACACCGCGGGGUCGGCCGCCGCUCACGUACGAGGGCUCAGGGAUCGCUGCUGUGCGUGACAGCUUUAUUUUUCGGGAUGAGAAAACUCGUCCCUUGUUGUGGAUGCAACGGAACCCACCGGCAGCUUUUCCUGCCUCCAUAAUCUAAUCUCAGCCAACAAGUUUCUGCCUUUACUCCUGCAACAUUACUAAUUAACGACCCUUGGGAAUUAAGCGCACAGUGACCUAAAAUUUCCUGCUCUCGCUGAUAGUUGCGCUUUGCCUAAAAACAAACAAAAAAACCCCAAAAAACAAAAACAAACAAACAAAAAAAAAACCCGGAAAAUAAUAAUAAUAAAAAAUAACGGUGAUAAUGAAACCUCCGGGAGAAGCACAGAUGAGCUGACUUAAAGGAAAAACUUUAAAAGCAUUAAAAGGGGCAUCGGACAUCCUAGCGGGUUUUACACCAACUCUGAAUUGAGCUUAAAGGAGCGAAUGGAAGGGCUGCACCCAGUAAACUUCGCUGGACGUUGCUCAGCUCCGACUCCAUCUCUCCCUCCCUGCAGCCAGCGGCAGCUCGGACAAUAGGAGGAGGUCAGAGCCCGUCCCUCUGCCUGUGUUGUCUGCAGGAACUCGGGCAGAGCGCUGCUACCUUCCUCGGCUGCCUAACAGCGAUUCGUUUUGUGAUGCUCCACGCCUGAUAGCCACCCCCUCCCCGCUCGGAUUUUGUGUUUCCUAUUCUCUUUAUGGGCGGCCGAUUCAUUUUGCACUGUCACUAUUUCCAGUAUUGUGGGUUUACUGAUGUCUUAGUUUAAGAAAAAAAAAAAAGGACCCUAUUCCUACCCAAAGAUUUCAUUAGCUCCGCUGGCUGCUUUUAAAGACAGCAGCUCUCUCUCUCUCUCUCUCCUCUGGAUGAAUUUAUCCAAUCCCUUCAUCUUCUCACGCUUUAUUUCGAGGUUUUGCUGCAAAUCUGACAUCCCGGCCGGGUCGGCUGUUCUCAGCCCUCCAGCCUCCAUCUCUGCCCCAGUACCCAACUCCCAGCCCUACCAACAGCCCCGACUCGCCCUCCCAGAGCCGGGGGAUGGGUGAUCGCGGCCGUCUGUGCCCUCCCGGCCCCCCGCAGCCCGCAGGCUCCUGCUUGAGGAUUAUUCUGAUUCUUUUUCUUAUUGUUGUUAUUAGGAUGAAACGCGAGAUUCAAAUUGCUCCCUGUUUGUCUUCGCCACCAGCGUGUUUCAGAGCGAUUAUCUCAUAUCUUUCCCCCAGAAGUAAGCUAUCCCUCAGCCCUGGGUCAGGCAUUGAUCUCCCUGCAAUGUAACAAACGGCCGGGUUAAUUUUCCCUCAUUACCAUCUCCAUAGCUCAGCCUGCACACCCAGGACGGAGCCCUCCGCUCCGUGUGCGGCUCCGGGCGGCCCCGCACGGCCCCACGGCCAACCCCACGCACAGCCCCGGCUCCGGGACAUCCCCGCUCGAUGCAGCACUGCAGCUUCGCUGCCUUUCUGCUCGUCCCUCACCUCGCCUGACCUCCCCAUUUCUUUGUCCCAUUUGGGGCUUUUCUAUGGGGUUUGCUCGAUGAUUCUUAGUUUUUUAAACGUUGCUCCGUUCACUAUAAAUUACAAGGAUUUUUUUUUUUUUUUUCACCUCACCCCGUUUUACUUCUUAAUCUUUCUCUCUCUCUCUCUCUCUCUUUUUUUUUCCUGGAGCCUUUUCAUUCAGUGGCGGCCAAAGAAAAAGGGGGUUGGUCAACACCAAAAUGGCAAAGUUCAGCUCGGGGAAAAAGAAAAAAAAAAGAAAAAGAAAAAGAGAAAAAAAAAGAGAGAGAGAGAAAAAAAAGAGAAAGAAAAAGAACCCUCCAGCUACCUACAAAGGGGCUCAAGGCUUUGUAAUGGCAGAAAGAAACAAAAAUGAAAAGAAAAUUGCAGUUGAGGCUAAAGUGUGAGAGUGUGUUUGUGUGUAUGUAUAUCUGUGUGUAUUUUUAAAGGUUUCUUUGAACUGCCUUUGUGCUGAGUAGGCAGAGCUCCUUGCCAAUGCUAGUCACGGUUUAAGGAACUUUGAGUUAACCUCUUAUAUCGAAUGAAUCUUUUCAUUUGGAAACCAAUAAAUCUCAAUCUCUAGCCACCUUUUGUAGAGCAGGCUGGGGCUUACCAAGGCGAGGCUGAAGCUUAUAAUAAAGAAGAGAUAAAGUUUGCCAAAGUUUUUUUUUGUUUUGUUUUUUGUUUUUUGUUUUUUUUUCCCUUUUUCUCCCUUCUACUUCUCUUGUAAAUAAAAGUUUUGGAGAUGGCAGCAGUUGGAAGCAAUCCGGAGAAGGACUCGGAUCUGUGCAUUGUUUCACAGAGCAUCCAAAAGGAAAGAAAGUGAAGUGUGAAGCAAGAGGAGAGAAGAAUGUCCAUGCAUCGCUUUCCAGUCUGUCACGGUCAUGGAUUUAAUUGGGGAUAACUGCUUUGACCAGACAGAUGGAGCCAGCUCUGCUUUUACACGUUAAGUGUAGCUCUGGCCAAGAGAAGGGAGUAGAAGAUGAUCUCCUGGUUCCUCUGCAGAACUGGUUUCUCUUAGCUCCAUGCAUGACCAUCCAGAUGAAUGCAUCUUCCCAAGGCACCCAGUGUUGCCCUCUGCUCCAGUCUUACUCUGUGUGCCCCAUGAAACAUGGAGGAUGUAUUACUAUCAGUGGUAUCUUAAUCUCAUUUAAAAGUAAUGAGACAAAAGGUAGGUUUUCUAGCUGGAUUUUUCAUCCCUAAACUCAGGUUGCACUCUGUAGUGUCAUGGAACCAUUGAAUAUCCAAAGUUGGAGGAGUUCAUGAACGAUCCAUAAGGAUCAAUGGGUCUAACUGCUGUAGUGUUUACUCCAGUCUGGGUGUUCCUAUGCCCUUACAAGAGUUAUUCUUUGGGUCUACUUUGCUUCAUUCUGACUGGGACUUAAAGAGGGAACAAAAAGAAAGAGGUAAAUGAAUUUCUUCCUGGACUACUGUAGCAGAAAUGCUGAGUUGCGGCCUGAAGCAGUGAUUGAGCACCUGGUGGGAAGGCAGGGCCAACCAAGGUGAGCACAGGUGCAUGCAAUGCAAUGCAAUACAGCUGAGUGACUGGAAGGUGUGGAGCCAAGACCCAGCCCUUCCCAACUCUCAUUUAAGGGCUGGAAGUGGAGGUGAGAGUGUCCUGUUGGAGGCCCCUACAUAGCUGAGGUUUUCUGGAGCUGCUGCUAUUUUUCUCUUUGGCCACAGAACCAUCUGCUGGUGUCACCACUCCUGGCCUGCUGGAAGUGGCCUUGCAAAGCAUGAGGUCCCUCUUGGCUGAGGGCUGAAAUCUGCUGUUUGGGGUGAGAGGAAGGAGCUGGAGGGGACCCUCUGUCUACUGAGGUCACAGGCACAGCACUCACACCAGUCACAUGCCCCAAGCAGUACUUUAUUUUGUGCUGCCUGCCAGCCUCAAUUUCAACUUUUAACAAGAGUUAUGUUUGUUACAGAAAACCAUGGAGGACUGUGGAUCAGGGACUGCUAGCUUAUAUAGGAUAAGGAAAGCUUAUCUAACAGUUACUGUAAACAUCUCCCUGGUCUCUUCCAGAGUUUCUUCAUAUGUCGAUAGACAGGUUCUGAUACUGUUGUGUUGCUCAGGACUCUAAAAUCUCAGAUCCUUAAAUUCCGGUAAGAAAUCAUUGUAUCUGUCUCUUGCCUGUUUUCUGUCUUAGUGGUCUGAACUUGCAUCCUUCUCCCAAGCACAUGUGUACGUAUACACAGAACAGAAUGGGUUUAUCUGCCUUUCUGGGAAUCACAUCUGGGUAAAGCAGAAUCAGUCCCUUCCUACAGCCCUGGGGAACAGCUUUGGGGUGCUCUCCAUGAUUCUUCUCCAUGCUUCUCAGUCUGGGCUGCAGACCCAGCUGUUGAGUAGGGGCUGUUCCUCCUUAUCCCCAGCUCAGUGCAAACAACUCUAGUGAGCACAGAGAGACAAAUGGCAGAACACUUGCAAAUAUUUGAAGAGCUUUUACCCAUCAGAGUUCAGUGCUCUGGUUAGUCAUUAUUUCAUAGCAGGAGAAAUAGAGCCUCAGUGUUCCUCAAGUGAUAGACAUGAGGUGGCAAUCACAUCACGGGGGGUUCUGCUGAACUUCUGGUAUUAAGGUAGCUAAAGUGCUGUUCAGAUGUAAUCCAAUCAACAAGACCUGACUCCAGGCAAGCUGGCAAACUGAGCUGAUGAGCACCUAGUGCACUGCAUCUAUUCAAAAUGCUGGGAUGAAGGUCAAGGUGCUUCCUGACAUGUGAUUAUCAGUGGUCACUGAUGAUACGGAGGAGACUGGUGAGAAGGGGAGGGAGAUGAGAAUGGGCUCAUGGUGUGCUUGGGGCAGACAAAAGAAGAGUCAGAAAGAAACACUUAUAUUUUCUGGAGCAAAGAGAUUAAUUAGUGAGAAGAGCUGGUUUUGCAGCACAGAGCAGGUUUUCUUCACAAAUGGGCCUGAAUAGUACCAUUAUAGAGAUGAAGUCUCCACAGGCUUGUAUUUCUUCUCUUGGGAGACCAUGUUUUGUUAGGUGGUGAGGGAAGAGCGAUCCAAUCUCUUUAGUUCUACCAGUAAAUCUAUCCCCAAUAAAAACAAAUCUUAGUAAAUAGAAAAGCUUUUUCUUUCUUAGGUGCUUUUUUUGUGUGAUAACAUAUGCCUUGUUAAGAGGCAUCCACCCAACAUCACAGCAAGAGCUCAUUAAAGGCAAAAACACUUGAAGGAUAAAAAGGAUAAACUUCUUCUGGUGAAGAGAAUAAUGGGUCACUGUCAUCUUAUAACGCUGCUACAUACUUUAUAUUUGGUGUCCUUUUAACAUUAGAAAACAAUUUAUGUCAUAGAUUGACUGCUACGGUUAACUUACUUGCAUGGUCUUUAACUUAAGGUUUCCACUUCAGGAACACUCCUUACAGGUUAGGGCCAUUGGCCACCAGAGUGCUUUGAAGAGUGAGUACCCCAGGACUGGAGGAUAAAAGGCUGCUGUAGAAGAAGAGGUGGCUGAACAGAGGAUCCAAGCUGGUAUUGUUGCUGAAGAAACUGGGAUACAGUAAGGAGGAAUGGCAUGAAAGUAGAAUGCACACAAGCAUCUGGUAAGGGAGGUUAAGAAGUAUGACCUUACUGGAAGGUGGAAGAAAAAAGGAGUGGAGAAGACGUCUGGAAGAAGGGCACAAUGUGCUGAGAAAAGGGAUUUGUUGCUUGGGCUUGGUCUGGGUGACAGAUGGGAUGCUGCAGUGGGGAAGGAGACGCAGAAGGGAGAAGGGGCAGGCAGCAGAGUGAGCAACACUUUGGGUGGGCAGCAGAGAUGAGGUGACAGGCAGUACAGUUUGGGGUGGAGGGCUGCCAGCUCUCCUGGGUGGUGGGGUGGCAUUGUCAGUAGUGGGAUUGUCACCUGCCAUCCCUGACAAGGUGUGGGCAAUAUGGAGCAGAAAGAGCUCCUCCCUCACUGCUGACGUGGGAGGGGUGAUCUCAGUUAUGUUCUUUCACUGCAGUUCCUCAAAAUCCAGGGCCAUCUGGACACAGUCCUGUCCCUCACUCAAGCUGUUGCCCAGGGAUUGCUCUGGCAGCAGUGACUAGCUGGCAUGUCUAGGAGUCUCCAUGCUCAUGGCCAGGAGGGCAGAUGGCAUCGGAUUCACUACAGUGGCUUUGCAGCACCUGGUGCCACCAUUUGGGGGGGUGGGGUCCUGCAGAGCCAGGUGAGAUUUGCCCCAGGCACUGCAGUGUCAUUCAAUUGAGUGGCACAGUUGCUCUGCCAUGCUGACCCAGCAGGCUCCCAGACACCUCCAGUAUUGCUGGUGCAGAUAUCUGGGGAUUGGUACACUUCUUUCCAGUUGGCCUUGUAGUAUUGAGCCUCACCAAAGAGAUGCUUGAAGUGGUUAGUGAAGGAGAACAGUGGAGCUCAGCUGGCAUUUCAGCAACAUGUUUGUAGUGACAGAUGUCUUCAGCUCACUGCCCUUGGUGUUCUGGGUUGUUCAAUAAAUGGGUAUGAAGAAGAGUCUCUGAAAACAUUGGCUGCUCUGCUCACACACGCCUAAACAGCAUGGAUAGUUUUGUUCAAGCAAUGUUUUAGUAGUGCUUCAUCCCAGUAAUGAGGCAUUUUUAUAUAGCAUUUGUGAUAUGGAAUUUAUAAAAAAAAAUAAUAAUAAAAUGCUUUUGUGUAAGAAA